RNAcentral lists this long non-coding RNA (1240 nucleotides) under Numida meleagris (helmeted guineafowl). RNAcentral describes it as "lncRNA (ENSNMEG00000006500.1)". The record is from RNAcentral. Lineage: Eukaryota; Metazoa; Chordata; Aves; Galliformes; Numididae.
UGGAGAUAGGAUUGUUGUGGUUAACCAAUGUGUUACACAGGCUGUUAAGCAGUUCCUGCUCCCAGUGAGGGCUACAUGCUAUUUAGCAUCGUUUUAGUUGCCUGUGGUCUGAGGCGAUGCUUUCUUCUGACAGAACGAAGGACUAUGUGAGUUUGUCACUUCUGCCAGCAGCACUGAGCUCAGGUCUCAGUUACCCCAUGUGCCGGUCUGAGGGGCCACUUGAAGCAGUUUUCUUGCCAGCUCCCCCAGACAUUCUGCAGAAGGAGGAGAUACACAGCAUUACACAGCCUACAAUCUGCAUAGACAAGUAGUUUCAGUGAGACUUCUCCAUGGAACAGAAUAAAUGAGAGGCAACUCUGAUCGCAGAAACUGAGGAUGGACAGAAAUGGAGAUAAAACUCAGAAACAAGGAAUGGAUAUUUCAGCUCAACUGCAACAUAAAAAGAAUGGGAAACAGAUGCCAACCAGAGCAUGGGUACCUUUGUCCUGGAGCACACCAGGUGCUGGGGAGAGCCUUGUACCACACCCUGCGAACACAAGAGUUAGCACCAUCAGUGAACAGAGGCACGGAGAGGUCAUGAUUAUUUUUGGAGACUUCACUGAAUGGCCUUCUUUCCUGAGUCACUGAGAAAACAUUGUUUGCUUGGAGGUGGUGUCUGCUGGGAAAUGCACAGUACCUUUACAGGCGUGUCCUCAGUGUCCUCAGUGAGGCUUCAGCUGACACACACUGGAGCCACAGGCCAAGAUGUGUCUGACGUCCACAAAGGGAUGUGGGCUGGUGUCUGGACAGUGCCGUGGUCUCUCCUCUUGAAAUGGCGUUGAGGAUGCAUUUGAGUACCAAACUCCGUGUCUGAGGUACGGGGAGGAUGUGCUGUAGUCUCUGCCAGUACACUGCCUUCCAGAGCAGCAGGGCCAAGGGAGCCAUGUGCAACCUGAACACGGUCAGCAGUUACAGGGCUUCAGCCCUUCGGUGUUGGCAGUCAGUGGUUAAAGAAGGAUAAUUAAUUCUCCCUGCUGAUAGAUACCUGAUGCAUUCCAGCAAAAUGUGGACUUGCUUUUUUUUUCUUGUGGGCGGUGUAAAAUGGUAACAAUUUAACAGGAAAAAGCCCAUGAAGAGCCUAACCCAGCUGAAUGAAAUGGCAAUUAUUAUACAGUCAGACAGCAUGGAGCCGGCGCUUUUAAUGCAAUUAAUUCUGCCAUGGCUUAAUAAAUUUGUUAUGCUGGCAUAGUGAAGACUGGAG